GAUGAACGCUAGCUACAGGCUUAACACAUGCAAGUCGAGGGGUAACGAGAGGGAAGCUUGCUUUCCUUGUCGACGACCGGCGCACGGGUGAGUAACGCGUAUCCAACCUGCCCCCAACUAGGGAAUAACCUUGCGAAAGUAAGACUAAUACCCUAUAAUUUCCUCAGAUGUCAUCUGACGAGGAAUAAAGAUUUAUCGGUUGUGGAUGGGGAUGCGUCUGAUUAGCUUGUUGGCGGGGUAACGGCCCACCAAGGCAACGAUCAGUAAGGGUACUGGGAGUAAGGUCCCCCACAUGGGAACUGAGACACUGUCCAAAAUCCUACGGGCGGCAGCAGUGAGGAAUAUUGGUCAAUGGGCGGAAGCCUGAACCAGCCAAGUAGCGUGCAGGAGGACGGCCCUAUGGGUUGUAAACUGCUUUUAUACAGGAAUAAAGUUAUCCACGUGUGGUUAUUUGUAGGUACUGUAUGAAUAAGGACCGGCUAAUUCCGUGCCAGCCGCCGCAGUAA
Molecule: ribosomal RNA, 506 nt
Filed under: uncultured bacterium
Lineage: Bacteria
Description: partial 16S ribosomal RNA
Rfam family: Bacterial small subunit ribosomal RNA
Source: RNAcentral